RNAcentral lists this ribosomal RNA (454 nucleotides) under uncultured bacterium. RNAcentral's name for it is "partial 16S ribosomal RNA". It matches the Rfam family "Bacterial small subunit ribosomal RNA", at positions 341 to 792 of the family's 1533-position model. The record is from RNAcentral.
ACGGAAGGCAGCAGUGAGGAAUAUUGGUCAAUGGAGGCAACUCUGAACCAGCCAUCUCGCGUGAAGGAAUACGGCCCUACGGGUCUUAAACUUCUUUUAUAGGGGGAUAAAGUGAGCCACGUGUGGCUUUUUGUAGGUACCCUAUGAAUAAGCAUCGGCUAACUCCGUGCCAGCAGCCGCGGUAAUACGGAGGAUGCGAGCGUUAUCCGGAUUUAUUGGGUUUAAAGGGUGCGCAGGCGGCACGUUAAGUCAGCGGUGAAAUGUCGGGGCUCAACCCGGGCACUGCCGUUGAAACUGGCGAGCUUGAGUACGGAUGAAGUCGGCGGAAUGUGAUGUGUAGCGGUGAAAUGCUUAGAUAUGUCACAGAACACCGAUUGCGAAGGCAGCCGGCCAAUCCGCAACUGACGCUCAUGCACGAAAGCGUGGGGAUCGAACAGGAUUAGAUACCCUGGUA